UACGUAGGGUGCGAGCGUUGUCCGGAAUUACUGGGCGUAAAGAGCUCGUAGGUGGUUUGUCGCGUUGUUCGUGAAAACUCACAACUCAAUUGUGGGCGUGCGGGCGAUACGGGCAGACUUGAGUACUGCAGGGGAGACUGGAAUUCCUGGUGUAGCGGUGGAAUGCGCAGAUAUCAGGAGGAACACCGGUGGCGAAGGCGGGUCUCUGGGCAGUAACUGACGCUGAGGAGCGAAAGCAUGGGGAGCGAACAGG
RNAcentral lists this ribosomal RNA (253 nucleotides) under uncultured bacterium. RNAcentral describes it as "partial 16S ribosomal RNA". It matches the Rfam family "Bacterial small subunit ribosomal RNA", at positions 524 to 776 of the family's 1533-position model. The record is from RNAcentral.